UCUACUAUUCGUUUCUCUACAAUUUCAACCCUUUUUAUCUAACUAGAUCGAGUUGAUUUGAACCUACAUCUCUUCCAUUCCAAAUUUCUAAGAGACUGAAAACUAUAAUACCAAUAGGCAAUAUUGUAAUUCUCACAAAAUAAAAUUUUCAAUUAAUUCAAGAAAAAGCCAUAGUGCCCCAUACAUACUAGAUGGAGGAGGAACACCCAAUAUUAUUUUAUCACAAACUUCACCGGUCAACUAUUGUUCAUAAAAUAACAACAAAAACACACAAACGAAGGUGGCUAGAUGAGUUUCUAUAACUCAUGCAAGCAGAGAACCCUAUCCUUAUCAAGUGGCCUUGAGAUGGUGUGCCUCAACAUCUUUUGCAAGUUUAAUGCAAAAGCUCAACAAUGAGAGUGGUUCUUGAACAUCAUCAUUUAGCUUUUCGUACUCAAGAUUCCAUGUCACCAAAUCAAUGCCACCAUGAGUUUCAACAUGUAAACCUCCUUUGAAGGCCCUGUACAACUUCAUCAGAUCACCCUCGACGACCUUAAAUGUAAGUGACCUCUUUUCCUCAUCUAUGCUUUCGAUUACGGCUUUUGCUACUUCCUGCUUCCCAUCUACAAUUAUUUCAAAUUUUACAAACAUCGUACAAGAAAAAGCCAGAUAAUCACAUUAUCCAACGUUCAAUAGGGUAAAUUAGAUAGUAUUGGGCAAUUUAAAAUAUAGUCUAAUGUUUUAUACUAAACAACGUUGGCUUACCAUGAGUGUACCUCCAGAAGUAGACAGAACCUACAUUUCCCCACUCUCCUUCAUGCAAAUCGCAGCCUUGAAUGUUAGUAGGACUGAUAUUGGGUAAUUGUUGUGGUUUGUACCUAAAGAGUUCGUGAAAUACAUCUCCACCAACCUUCGUCUCCAUUUGGGAUGUUAAUUUACCUUUAAGACCCAUUUUUCUUUGCAAAGAAGGCACUAAGAAGUUUGAUGGAAGAUGGGAAGAACUCACACGACUUACUGAUCUAUUUAUAGUUGUAUUGUGAGGGUGAAUAGUCU
This 1032-nucleotide long non-coding RNA is filed under the name Olea europaea subsp. europaea. The record is from RNAcentral. Lineage: Eukaryota; Viridiplantae; Streptophyta; Magnoliopsida; Lamiales; Oleaceae.